This 445-nucleotide ribosomal RNA is filed under the name uncultured bacterium. RNAcentral's name for it is "bacterial SSU rRNA". It matches the Rfam family "Bacterial small subunit ribosomal RNA", at positions 954 to 1392 of the family's 1533-position model. The record is from RNAcentral.
GCAUAACGCGAAGAACCUUACCUGGGCUUGAACUGUCGGUAUAGGGGCCCGAAAGGGCGACGAUCCCGGGCAACCGGGAAGCCGAUAGAGGUGCUGCAUGGCUGUCGUCAGCUCGUGUCGUGAGAUGUUGGGUUAAGUCCCGCAACGAGCGCAACCCUUGUCUUUAGUUGCCAGCGAGUCAUGUCGGGCACUCUAAGGAGACUGCCUCGGAUAACGAGGAGGAAGGUGGGGAUGACGUCAAGUCAGCAUGGCCUUUAUGUCCAGGGCUACACACGUGCUACAAUGGGCGGCACAGAAGGACGCGAGACCGCGAGGUCAAGCCAACCCUUAAAACCGUUCUCAGUUCGGAUUGCAGGCUGCAAUUCGCCUGCAUGAAGUCGGAAUCGCUAGUAAUCGCGGAUCAGCUACGCCGCGGUGAAUACGUUCUCGGGUCUUGUACACACCG